RNAcentral lists this transfer RNA (72 nucleotides) under Camelus bactrianus (Bactrian camel). It matches the Rfam family "tRNA". From Rfam's summary of the family: Transfer RNA (tRNA) molecules are approximately 80 nucleotides in length. Their secondary structure includes four short double-helical elements and three loops (D, anti-codon, and T loops). The record is from Rfam by way of RNAcentral. RNAcentral also lists the same sequence under 3 other names. Lineage: Eukaryota; Metazoa; Chordata; Mammalia; Artiodactyla; Camelidae.
GAGAGUAUACCUCACUGGCAGAGUGUGUGCUUAGCAUGCAUGAGGUCCUGGGUUCAAUCCCUAGUAAUUCCA